RNAcentral lists this long non-coding RNA (330 nucleotides) under Salvia miltiorrhiza (redroot sage). RNAcentral describes it as "long non-coding RNA (SMIL_LNC009255)". The record is from RNAcentral. Lineage: Eukaryota; Viridiplantae; Streptophyta; Magnoliopsida; Lamiales; Lamiaceae.
GCAGAUAGGCAAAAUAGGGUGAGAUCUUCUAACCUUUCAGUGUCUUCAUAUAUCUCGUCCAAAUUCCUUGCUCGUGGUGUGGCUCUUUCAUUUAAGAAAGAUGGUGGCGAGUCUUCAGUAACUUGUAUAGGUGAAGCUGGCGGAGUCACUACCUCUUGUUGGACUUCUCCAACUUGCUCGACUGUCCUUUCAUCUUCGAAUUGUGGGAUGAAGGUGAAGUCACAACUGGGACUGAAAUCCCAGACUCCUUCUUCGUCGAACUCCACGUCUCGACUUAUCACUAUUUUCUUGGUAUUUGGAUUAUAUAACUUAUAGCCUUCAGAGUUAGAG